Molecule: ribosomal RNA, 476 nt
Filed under: Stenotrophomonas sp.
Lineage: Bacteria; Pseudomonadati; Pseudomonadota; Gammaproteobacteria; Lysobacterales; Lysobacteraceae
Description: bacterial SSU rRNA
Rfam family: Bacterial small subunit ribosomal RNA
Source: RNAcentral
GCCAUACCGCGUGGGUGAAGAAGGCCUUCGGGUUGUAAAGCCCUUUUGUUGGGAAAGAAAUCCAGCUGGCUAAUACCCGGUUGGGAUGACGGUACCCAAAGAAUAAGCACCGGCUAACUUCGUGCCAGCAGCCGCGGUAAUACGAAGGGUGCAAGCGUUACUCGGAAUUACUGGGCGUAAAGCGUGCGUAGGUGGUCGUUUAAGUCCGUUGUGAAAGCCCUGGGCUCAACCUGGGAACUGCAGUGGAUACUGGGCGACUAGAAUGUGGUAGAGGGUAGCGGAAUUCCUGGUGUAGCAGUGAAAUGCGUAGAGAUCAGGAGGAACAUCCAUGGCGAAGGCAGCUACCUGGACCAACAUUGACACUGAGGCACGAAAGCGUGGGGAGCAAACAGGAUUAGAUACCCUGGUAGUCCACGCCCUAAACGAUGCGAACUGGAUGUUGGGUGCAAUUUGGCACGCAGUAUCGAAGCUAACGC